RNAcentral lists this unclassified non-coding RNA (295 nucleotides) under Hevea brasiliensis (rubber tree). The record is from RNAcentral. Lineage: Eukaryota; Viridiplantae; Streptophyta; Magnoliopsida; Malpighiales; Euphorbiaceae.
GGUUGCGAUGUUAGAGAAGCAUUUAAAGGUUAAAGCUAAGAAGAAUUUCGUCGUAAUGCCCGGAAACGGCGACGUUCCGUUUACUCAUGCGAAUAUAAGUUCGGCCCGGAAAGAAUUCGGGUAUAAACCCACAACCGAUUUACAAACCGGGUUGAAAAAGUUUGUUAAAUGGUAUCUCUCUUAUUAUGGCUAUGAUCAAGGAAAGUUGUAAAUUGAUAAUUUAUUUUUAAAAAAAAAUUUCAUGUUGUGGUUAUUUUAGAUUUUUUCUUUUUCUUUUUUGUAAUCACAAAAGCAA